Molecule: ribosomal RNA, 1419 nt
Filed under: uncultured bacterium
Lineage: Bacteria
Description: 16S ribosomal RNA
Rfam family: Bacterial small subunit ribosomal RNA
Source: RNAcentral
AGAGUUUGAUCCUGGCUCAGGACGAACGCUGGCGGCGUGCCUAAUACAUGCAAGUCGAACGCUUCUUUUUCCACCGGAGCUUGCUCCACCGGAAAAAGAGGAGUGGCGAACGGGUGAGUAACACGUGGGUAACCUGCCCAUCAGAAGGGGAUAACACUUGGAAACAGGUGCUAAUACCGUAUAACAAUCGAAACCGCAUGGUUUUGAUUUGAAAGGCGCUUUCGGGUGUCGCUGAUGGAUGGACCCGCGGUGCAUUAGCUAGUUGGUGAGGUAACGGCUCACCAAGGCGACGAUGCAUAGCCGACCUGAGAGGGUGAUCGGCCACAUUGGGACUGAGACACGGCCCAAACUCCUACGGGAGGCAGCAGUAGGGAAUCUUCGGCAAUGGACGAAAGUCUGACCGAGCAACGCCGCGUGAGUGAAGAAGGUUUUCGGAUCGUAAAACUCUGUUGUUAGAGAAGAACAAGGAUGAGAGUAACUGUUCAUCCCCUGACGGUAUCUAACCAGAAAGCCACGGCUAACUACGUGCCAGCAGCCGCGGUAAUACGUAGGUGGCAAGCGUUGUCCGGAUUUAUUGGGCGUAAAGCGAGCGCAGGCGGUUUCUUAAGUCUGAUGUGAAAGCCCCCGGCUCAACCGGGGAGGGUCAUUGGAAACUGGGAGACUUGAGUGCAGAAGAGGAGAGUGGAAUUCCAUGUGUAGCGGUGAAAUGCGUAGAUAUAUGGAGGAACACCAGUGGCGAAGGCGGCUCUCUGGUCUGUAACUGACGCUGAGGCUCGAAAGCGUGGGGAGCAAACAGGAUUAGAUACCCUGGUAGUCCACGCCGUAAACGAUGAGUGCUAAGUGUUGGAGGGUUUCCGCCCUUCAGUGCUGCAGCUAACGCAUUAAGCACUCCGCCUGGGGAGUACGACCGCAAGGUUGAAACUCAAAGGAAUUGACGGGGGCCCGCACAAGCGGUGGAGCAUGUGGUUUAAUUCGAAGCAACGCGAAGAACCUUACCAGGUCUUGACAUCCUUUGACCACUCUAGAGAUAGAGCUUCCCCUUCGGGGGCAAAGUGACAGGUGGUGCAUGGUUGUCGUCAGCUCGUGUCGUGAGAUGUUGGGUUAAGUCCCGCAACGAGCGCAACCCUUAUUGUUAGUUGCCAUCAUUUAGUUGGGCACUCUAGCAAGACUGCCGGUGACAAACCGGAGGAAGGUGGGGAUGACGUCAAAUCAUCAUGCCCCUUAUGACCUGGGCUACACACGUGCUACAAUGGGAAGUACAACGAGUCGCAAAGUCGCGAGGCUAAGCUAAUCUCUUAAAGCUUCUCUCAGUUCGGAUUGUAGGCUGCAACUCGCCUACAUGAAGCCGGAAUCGCUAGUAAUCGCGGAUCAGCACGCCGCGGUGAAUACGUUCCCGGGCCUUGCACACACCGCCCGUCA